Molecule: long non-coding RNA, 3216 nt
Filed under: Sus scrofa (pig)
Lineage: Eukaryota; Metazoa; Chordata; Mammalia; Artiodactyla; Suidae
Description: lncRNA (ENSSSCG00030066342.1)
Source: RNAcentral
CCCUGAUGUAACAGCCCUUGCAUAACUGGGAUGAGGAGCCUGAAAAAACAGAAGCUGAGAACAUCAUAUUGGGUUUUGCCAAGGAGGAGUUGGGGAUACAGCAAUAUUCAUCUUGUUUAGUUGGCAAUUUUUGUAUGUUCCAUUCCAAAAACAAAGCAACAGAAAUUGAAGCCUGACCAGCUGCCAAGUCACGUUUUCUGGGUCCUGGUCAUCAUUGUGGUCGCCAUCCACAUGGAUCUCGAGUGACAAGGCAGAGAUGAUAUCAGAAUCAUACCCAAGGAAGAGCAGAAUGGGCAUUUCCCCAUCACUUCCUUUUUGUCCUCACAACCCAGGCUGAUCCAUCUCUUUCCUUAUUUUUAUUGAGUAGUAUAAAAUGUUCUUCGUUUUAUGACAGCAUUUGAGUGAGUUACAGAGAAUUAAAAUAAAUCAUCAUAUAUUACUUAUGACUCCUGACCUAGAUUUUCUAUAAUAUUUUUCCACUAAAAAAUAUAGCUAACCUUACAGCAAUUUCUCUUUAGGCUAAAUUUUAUCCUGCAGUUACGAAGGACAGGGUUAUUAGGAAUAAGUUCUGUGUGAUUUCUGAAAUUCGGCUUUCCUUUUCUAGCUUGAAUAACCUUGAAUUUGAAUUGGGCUUUUGUGCAUGUGUGUGUGUUAAUGUAGGUACCCUCUGCAGCUAGGGUGUAAGCAUAUCAAAUCAAUACCAUCAAAGAAGCCCAGCUCUUUGUGUUCCAGCCCCAGAGAUGGACUGUUAGGUUAUGGUAGUCAGGACAUUCUAUUUUGUUCUCCAAGAUCUUGGAAAUGAGGUUACUCUUCUGAAAAUAUGGCUUUAGGAAAUGAAUAACAGUCAACUCUUUCCAGAUACUAAAGUGAAAGGUUCAGACCAGACCCGUCUAAUAAAACUUUCUGUACUGAUGGGAACGUUAGAUAUCUGUGCUAUUCUUAUAUGAUACCCACCAAUUAUAUGUGCUUAUGGAACACUUGAAGUGUGGCUAGUGUGACUGAGGAACUGAAUUUUUAAGAUAAUUUAUUUCUAAUUUAUUUAAGUGUACAUAGCUACAUUUCUGGCUCAUGGUUACUCUCAGGGCAUAUUAUAUUGUUAUUCCUACAAUCACGUAUGUUCCAAAGCCAAUGAUUAGAACUCUCUUGUCUAAAUUAGUUGAGCAGUCAAAUCUAGUUUUUGCCAAUGAAGGAGGCAUUUUGUUGACAACUAUAGGGCUGGUUCUUUUCAGGACUCUGUUACUUCAGGCUGUGUUUAUUUUCAUCUUGAUUGCAGGGGAGGCGUGGGUAUAUAAGUCUCCAUGUGUGUGUGAUUUCUGUGGCAGUUUGCUCUUAGAAACUCUCCUAGACUGAAAUUUACUUGCACUUGAGCUUUUUAAUCAAUAUGCUCUCCACUUAUCUGAUGUUGGAAUCCUUUCGCCUAAUGAUUUUGUCCUGUGACUUAACCACCGAAAGUUUUCCACAGAAAAUAAGUAAACAACCUUCUCAAGGUGACAGUUUUUCAAAUCAAAGGAAGCCAUUGCUGUUUGGAAUCAAAGAGAAAGUUUGUGUGUGAGUGUUUGGGGCUUCCCCGGGUGUUUCUGGUUCACUCUCUUCUGGCUGGGUGAGUACUGCCAAGCCCUCUGUGCUUAGAGGGGCCCAUGGGGUCAUUCACGACACUGAGUUAUGAGAAGAAGCGGUGCGUGCCACUUGGGGGGUAGUCAAGGGUUUAAUUGCUGAUGCAGGACACUGCAGAGCUCUUCCCCCUUCGCCCCAGCAGCUGGCAACGUUUGUGAUGGUGCCUAUUCCGUCACCUCGGGACCCAGAAUGACUAAGACAAGCUGAGAUUUCUUGGUGGCUUGCAAUGGAUAUAUGAUAUGGAAAAGAAAUAAAUCUUUGAUGUUUCCAGUCAGCAGACUGAUACAUAUCUAAGUAAAGAUUCUGAGUAGAAUACAGGAGUAAGCCAAAAUAGCAGUGGAACUUGGAGAGAGAUGAACUAUCUGAAGUUGAAAUCAACUGACCACGUGUUUGUCAAAACCCGCAUGACACACUGGAUGAGUACAUCAAGAAGGCUUUGGAACUUUUGGGAAUCAGGCAAUUUGUGGAGCCCUGGGUAAAAUGCUUUCUAAACAAAUAUCAGUGCCGGGUUUCUUUGUAGAGUGAAAAAGUGCUGAGUGUUGGCGAUGAAGCUCAGCAGUCUCAGAGUUGCCCCACGUUAAAGGGCCAUGCCGAAAACUCCUCCAUCUGUGGCCAAGAUCAAUUGAAGGGAGGAUGCUUAGCAGGUGGAAUUAUGUUUUGAUUAUAUUUUUUAGUUUUGAAGAGGAAACUGGGUGAUGGAAAAAUAAAGAGCUAGAGGUAGGAUGUUGGCAAUGACAUCGACUCAAAUUCCUACAGUUACUGUUUCUUAGCCUGAAGCCUAGGCUUGAAAUUUGUGUAACAGUUCUCAUAUCAGGAAAUCUAAUAGCCUCUAAGUCAUGUGUUGAUAAUAUCAGGUUAUUUUUACAUUAAACCCCAGUUUCAUUAAUAUGACCUCUUAAAGAAUCACAUACAUUAUUCUUUUCAAUAAAAAUAUUCAUAAAAAUCACUUGGCACCACAUUCAGUUCUUCAGCUUAAUUACAAUCAAUAAUACUAAUUAAUUAUUAGUAUUACUUAAUAUAAUGUCAUUACUAAUAGUUCCAUUAGUAAUUAUAAUGUCAUUACUAAUAAUUCCAGUUAUCAUAACAACAAUAAUAAUAAUGAGUAAUUAAUGACUUCUAUGUUAAUGCUCUUUCUAUUCCCUGGCACUGUAGUAAACACUAUAUAUGAAUUAUUUUAUUUAAUCCUAGCAACAACACUCUAUAAUUUAUAUUUUACAGAAAAGGGAACAGUCUCUAAAGUCUGGGAAACUUGGUGCAGGCCCAGUAGUUGGCAAGCCAUAGAAUGGUUUGGAGUCGUGUGAAUCCAAAGACUGUUUUUUGGGAGUUCCCAUUCGUGGCUCAGUGUUAACAAAUCCGACUGGGAACCAUGAAGUUGCGGGUUUGAUCCCUGGCCUCGCUCAGUGGGUUAAGGAUCCAGCGUUGCCGUGAGCUGUGGUGUAGGUCACAGACGCGGCUCGGAUCCCGCGUGGCUGUGGCUGUGGCUGUGGCAUAGCCUGGGACCCUCCAUCUUUAGAAUAUCAACUUUAAUAUGAUCUGUACUUUGAUUGUAUUUAGUUAAAUCUUUUACUCAAAGGCAUCACCAAUUUGAGAAAAAAAAAAAAA